This is a small nuclear RNA of Myotis daubentonii (Daubenton's bat), 107 nucleotides long. The record is from RefSeq and is a predicted model, not a curated record. NCBI's taxonomy places the organism in Eukaryota, Metazoa, Chordata, Mammalia, Chiroptera, Vespertilionidae.
GUGCUUGCUUUGACAGCACAUAUACAAAAAUUGGAACUAUAUAGAGAAGAUUAGCAUGGCCCCUGCACAAGGAUGACACGCAACUUUGUGAAGUGUCCAUAUUUUUA